GACGAACGCUGGCGGCGUGCUUAACACAUGCAAGUCGAACGGAAAGGCCCUGCUUUUGUGGGGUGCUCGAGUGGCGAACGGGUGAGUAACACGUGAGUAACCUGCCCUUGACUUUGGGAUAACUUCAGGAAACUGGGGCUAAUACCGGAUAGGAGCUCCUGCUGCAUGGUGGGGGUUGGAAAGUUUCGGCGGUUGGGGAUGGACUCGCGGCUUAUCAGCUUGUUGGUGGGGUAGUGGCUUACCAAGGCUUUGACGGGUAGCCGGCCUGAGAGGGUGACCGGCCACAUUGGGACUGAGAUACGGCCCAGACGGCUACGGGAGGCAGCAGUGGGGAAUAAUGCACAAUAGGCGGAAGCCUGAUGCAGCAACGCCGCGUGCGGGAUGACGGCCUUCGGGUUGUAAACCGCUUUCGCCGGUGACGAAGCGUGAGUGACGGUAAUGGGUAAAGAAGCACCGGCUAACUACGUG
RNAcentral lists this ribosomal RNA (468 nucleotides) under uncultured bacterium. Its description in RNAcentral is "partial 16S ribosomal RNA". It matches the Rfam family "Bacterial small subunit ribosomal RNA", at positions 28 to 507 of the family's 1533-position model. The record is from RNAcentral.